UAUGUCAGUUGCGUAAGGACACUGGCUGUCUCUGUAAAGGAUUUGUGGAAACUUACCGUAAUCUUUUCUUUCUUAGCCUCCGAGAUCCAUUAGUGUUGUGUGACUUCCAAUAGCUGGUCUUUUAGUUCAGCAAUCUCCUUCAGAUCCUUCAUCAUCAGCUACCCCUUGAUUUGAGGAUGAUGAUCUACUCAGGGUCAUGAAUUUCUGCUGUGGCUCUUCCUGUGACUGGUCAAGUCGAUUCCUGAUUCUGAGAUCUUGAGGAUGACUGCUACAAACAAACUGAUGUGGAAGUGAAUUCAAUGGCUGGAUGGAGAAGGAGGCACCCUGGAAUGUCACACCUGCUGGCGUCAAAAGAAGUCUCAAAAAGAGAAAUGCACUACAAACUGAAUUGUAAUCUCCUGUGAUUAUCUUAGACCAUGAACGUGAAGGUUUAAAAUAAACAGAAAUCUGGGUGAGA
Long non-coding RNA from Rhincodon typus (whale shark), 457 nucleotides. RefSeq lists it as uncharacterized. The transcript has 3 exons. The record is from RefSeq and is a predicted model, not a curated record. Lineage: Eukaryota; Metazoa; Chordata; Chondrichthyes; Orectolobiformes; Rhincodontidae.